GCAUGCAAGUCGAACGAUAGUCCUUCGGGGCUAUAGUGGCGGACGGGUGAGUAACGCGUAGGAAUCUACCCCUGGAUGGGGAAUAACUCAGAGAAAUCUGGGCUAAUACCGCAUAAUCUCUACGGAGAAAAGGUCGUAACUGAUCGUCGAGGGAGGAGCCUGCGUCCUAUCAGCUUGUUGGUGAGGUAAAAGCUCACCAAGGCGAUGACGGGUAGGGGGUGUGAGAGCACGGCCCCCCACAAGGUCACUGAUACACGGGGCCUACACCUACGGGUGGCAGCAACUGGGAAUAUUGCGCAAUGGGCGAAAGCCUGACGCAGCGACGCCGCGUGCGGGAUGAAGACCUUCGGGUUGUAAACCGCUGUGGAGAGGGAAGAUAAUGACGGUACCUCUCUAGAAAGCACCUGCUAACUACGUGCCAGAAGCCUCGGUGAGACGUAGGGUGCAAGCAUUAUCCGGAUUUAUUGGGCGUAAAGAGUAUCGUAGGCGGUUUUGUAAGUGGUCGGUGAAAUCCUCUGGCUCAACCAGAGAACUGCCGAUCAUACUGCGAAACUAGAGUGACUUCGGGAAGGCUGGAAUUCUCGGUGUAGGGGUGAAAUCCGUUGAUAUCGAGAAGAACA
RNAcentral lists this ribosomal RNA (620 nucleotides) under uncultured bacterium. RNAcentral describes it as "bacterial SSU rRNA". It matches the Rfam family "Bacterial small subunit ribosomal RNA", at positions 53 to 708 of the family's 1533-position model. The record is from RNAcentral.